Molecule: long non-coding RNA, 3432 nt
Filed under: Sus scrofa (pig)
Lineage: Eukaryota; Metazoa; Chordata; Mammalia; Artiodactyla; Suidae
Description: lncRNA (ENSSSCG00040035954.1)
Source: RNAcentral
CUUUUUUUUUUUUUUUUUUUUUUUUUUUAGCCUGUGCUCCCAGCAUGUGGAAGUUACAGGGAGGCCAGGGAUGGAACCUGAGCCGCCAUAGCAACCCAAGCAGCGACAAUGCCAGAAUCCUUAACCUGUUGUGCCACGGAAUUUCUCCUUGAAUUUUCUUGUACUAAAUGUACUUUGACUCUUCCAUAACAUUUUAUAUCAAAAUUAACGAUACAUUUAGGGCUCAUAAAUUUGAAGGAUAGGAAUUAUUAUGUGCUAGACAGAUUAAAAAAAUAUUUUUUGCAUAAUAGCUGCUAUUUUCCAGGAAAGGACUGGAGAGCUUUGUGUUUAUGGUGCCAACUGUCCAUGUUUUGUCUAUGUUUUGCACAGAAAAUGGUUUUAGAAGCAUUGAGUUUUUAGGAACCUGGAAAGAUUGAAGAUAGAAUCUGGAUCUAAAAGAUUGACUUCCAGGUCACUUUGAAUAGUGAUAAUGCAUUUUCUCCCCUACUUAUACUUGCUGAACCCAAGUGGGAUCACCAGGUACUCUGGUGUUUAGACGUUUAUUCAUUCUAAUAAGCCAGGAAUUUUGUUCAAUAUACAAAAUAAACAUGUCCUUUUCCCCAAGAUUUAUAUUGUAGUGGAAAUGUCUAUUUAUUUAUGUUUUAGUGUAUUUGUUUUGGACAGAGGGUUUUAAUAUAUUGUACAAAAUGUAUUGAUAGUCCUUUCAAAUUUGGCAGUGGUUUGUCGGGUAUAAAUGUAAUUAUCAAGAUCAGAAACUUCCAGGAAUUCAGAAGAACAGAUUCUGCAUGACAAAUGUAGCCAUCUCAGAGUUUAAAGAAGUGGAAAGAAGUAAAGGUGGUGACAUUUCAAAGGUUUCCACAAGGCUACAAACAUUAAUAAAGAUUUUCAUAUGUUAUAUAUAAACCGCAUAUGUGAUAUAUUAUAUCUGUAAUAAAAUAAUUUAGAUUUUUGUGUGUGUUUCAACAGCUCAGCCUGUACAAAUAAACUGUUUCCAUGGGCGAUGUGAUCAUCUCAACACAGCUUGGUAUUUGUUCCACUGAGUGUGUGGUUUCUAUUCCUAAUAAUUUUUUUUUUUUUUUAUCAAGCACUUUGGAAAAACAAACAUUUAUUUGACACAUCAAAAAUGCUUCACUGGUGAUUGACAUUUCUUCUUUCCAACAGAUGGUGCUAUCUUACUGCCAACUAUUGCAGGGCAAACCCUCUAGAUAAAUAAAUCCCUCUCUCCAUUUAUCAACCACUGGUUCAGGUUCAUUUGUCCCAUGAGCCAAAUGUCCUCAGUCGAGGAUCAUAGUAUCUUAAGAAUGAAGUCUCUUUUUUAUUUUUUAAUGAUUUUUAUUUUUUCCAUUAUAGUUGGUUUAUAGUGUUCUGUCAUUUCUACUGCACAGCAAAGUGACCCAGUCACACGUAUAUAUAUACUCUUUCUCUCGUGUUAUCCUUCCUCAUGUGCCGUCAUAGUGACCAGAUAUAGUUCUUAGUGCUAUACUGCAAGAUCUCAUUGCUUAUCCACUCCAAAUGCAAAGUUUGCAUCUAUUAACCCCAGACCCCCUGUCCAUCGCACUCCCUCCCCCUUGAAAAUCACAAGUCCAUGAGUUUGUUUCUUUUCUGCAGAUAGGUUCGUUUUGCCAGCUAUUAGAUUCCAGAUUUAAGUGAUAUCAUAUGGUAUUUGUCUUUCUCUUUUUUAUUUUUAUUUAUUUAUUUAUUUAUUUAUUUUUGUCUUUCUCUUUUUGACUUACGUCCUUAGUAUGAAAGUCUCUAGUUCCUUCUAUGGCUGCAAAUGGCAUUAUUUUGUUCUUUUUUUGUGGUCAAGUAAUAUUCCAUUGUGUAUAUAUACCACAUCUUAAUCCCAUCAUCUGUCAAUGGACAUUGAGGUUGUUUCCAUGUCUUGGCUAUUGUGAAUAGUGCUGUAAUGAACAUAGGGUUGCGUGUAUCUUUUUCAAAGAAAGUUUUAUCCAGAUAUAUGCCCAGGAAUGGGAUUGCUGUGUCGUUGGUAGUUCUAUAUUUAGGGACCUCCAUACUGUUUUCCAUAGUGGUCGUACCAAUUUACAUUCCCACCAACAGUGUAGGAUGGUGAGAACGAAGUCUCUUAAAAAUUCUCCAAUAAGACGUGUGUUUAAUUCCUCAGGAAUUUUCCUUCAUUAGCCUCUUGUCUUUAUGGAAAGACAGACAUAGAAUAGAUGCAUAACUUACUUCUGGCCUCCUAAUAUUUUUUGUUUGACUUGGCUCUCAGUAGGUUAAAGAAAGGUGUUCAUUAAAGCAGUGGGAUUGUGUUGACCUAAAAUGCCAAAGGGAUUUUGAGUAACUUGUCUGUGUGCAUUUCUAAAUAUUUGAAAAGAGAAAGAUAGCUUUCUUGUGUGAGACCCUUUCAGAAGCAGAGGUCAUCUUGUGACCUCUCUAAGGCCCUUUAAGCUUUAUGAUUUCUUGACAGCAUGGUUUUUGAGUUGUAUUAAGCCAACUAAAGUUGUUGGACGCAACAUGUAAAUACAGAUCUAGCUAACAUGUCAAUCAUUUGCAUCUCCUUUAGCCAAUUUUCUGUUCAGCAUUGCCUCUUUUGUGGAAAGGCUUGAAAAGUAAAUGUAGGUAUAACAAUUGAGUUGAAUACUUAGUAGAGCAUAUCUUUAUAAAGCACUUUUAAGUAACGUUUAAUUUAAUCUCUCAUUAUCUUUUUAAAAGUUUUUACUGAGAAAAAUUGCUAACAUACAUAAAAGUAGAAGGAAUACCAUAAUGAAACCCCAUUACCCGUCAUCUAGCUUCAAAAAUUACUAAUAUAUUACCCAACUUGUUUUAUCUAUGUGUUUCCUACCUCUGAUCCCACUUUUUUUUUUUUUUUUUUUUUUUUUUUUGGUCUUUGUAGGGCCGCAUCCAUGGCAUAUGGAUGUUCCCAGGCUAAGGGUCCAAUCGGAGCUGUAGCCACCAGCCUCAGCAAUGCGGGAUCCGAGCCGCCUCUGUGACCUAUACCAUAGCUCACAGCAGUGCCAGAUCCUUAACCCAUUGAGCAAGGCCAGGGAUCGAACCCACGUCCUCAUGGAUGUGAGGUUCACUAACCACUGAGCCAUGAUGGGAACUCCAUGAUCCCAUGGGUUUUUUUUUUUUUUUUCAGUUUUAGUAAAGUAUAAUUUUGGAUCCCAUAAAAGUCACCCAUUGUAAGCAUAUGUGCACUUACACCAAACUGAAGAAUACCACAUAGUGUAUGAUUUCAUUUACAUGAACUGUUUGGGGGAGGAAGUCUAUAGAUUUGGUGAUUAGUGGUUACCAGAGGCUGAGUGUGGGAGUGGAGACUGACUGCAAAUAGGCACUGGGCAACUUGUUGGGGUGAUGAAAAUGCUCUAAAAUUAGACUGUGAUGAUGGUUUCACCAACUCAAGAAAUUCAUUUAGAAGCGUUGUAUUACAAUUCAGUGUAAGUCACAUUUGCUUACAUGGGUGACUUUUAUGGA